CUAUGCUCGAACCAGCGGUCCCCUCUUUGGGGCCCAAAGCACCAGUGAUGGCCAGGGUUUUCCUGGCUUGAACUGGCGCCCGGCUCAGCCUUCGGGCUAUGGCCGGGGCCCCGGUGAACUGUCCGGUUCACCGGAGGGGUGGCCCACCACCUCGAUCCCGUCCCUCGAGGAACGACUCGAUGA
Molecule: non-coding RNA, 183 nt
Filed under: uncultured Synechococcus sp.
Lineage: Bacteria; Bacillati; Cyanobacteriota; Cyanophyceae; Synechococcales; Synechococcaceae
Description: psaA RNA
Rfam family: psaA RNA
Source: RNAcentral